GCAAGUCGACUGGAAUUCUUCUUCGGAAGAUAGUACGGUGGCGGACGGGUGAGUAACGCGUAAAGAAUUUGCCCUUCAGAUUGGGACAACUAACCGAAAGGUUAGCUAUUACCGGAUAUUAUGAGACUUUUGAUCAAGGACUUAUGAAAGCUAUAUGCGCUGGAGGAGAACUUUGCGUCCCAUUAGGUAGUUGGUAGGGUAAUGGCCUACCAAGCCAACGAUGGGUAGCCGGCCUGAGAGGGUGAAC
This 247-nucleotide ribosomal RNA is filed under the name uncultured bacterium. RNAcentral's name for it is "partial 16S ribosomal RNA". It matches the Rfam family "Bacterial small subunit ribosomal RNA", at positions 57 to 305 of the family's 1533-position model. The record is from RNAcentral.